GCAUCGGUGGUGCACGGUGCACGCCUCUUUACUGUGAGUAUAUCGCGAGCAUACAGGGAGGGACUCGGGUUCGAUUCCCGGCCGAUGCG
Mycena rebaudengoi is the source of this 89-nucleotide non-coding RNA. The record is from the annotation of a GenBank genome assembly. Lineage: Eukaryota; Fungi; Basidiomycota; Agaricomycetes; Agaricales; Mycenaceae.